GGAUCGGGGCGGGGCUGGCGCAAGCGUGGGGCGGAGUUCCAGGGCCUCCGCUCCUGCGCCCCCAAGCCCAGCUCGCACACCAGCUGGAAGUGGGGGUCAGCUCUAUGCGUGACGGUGGGAGGCGGGGAGACGGACAGUCACCCCCAGAGACACAGGGUCCCUCCCGGGUCACCUGGGGAUGCGUCCGCCGGGCCUGAAUCGAACACGCCCACGAUCGAGAUGGGGACAGUCCUGGGACCGCCCAGGCAGGGCUGGAUUCCUCGGAAAGGCCCGCCACGCCGGGGCCUGCCCAGCCCCGUGAACCCCACAAAGUGCUGAGUAACGAUGACCGGGAAGUAUCUCGGUGUCUCUGAGUGGUUCUUGACCACCUAAUUCAUCAUAGCCAAAGGUGCUCGAUGAUACUGCACGUUCCUGGACCACACAGACAGACAUACAGAAUCAGUCUUUUGAGGUAAGUCUUUGUAAUCUGCAUUUUUGAAAAGCAUCUCAGGUGAUUGGGUACACUAAGAUUUGAUGAGCUUUGCCAUGGGACCUUCAGAGGGAGGCCAGCAUUAGUUAAGCUUCAAGACUGUGUCUAGCAAGACAGUUGAGAUGGAGACUCAAAAGAGAAUGUGGUAAGUGACAUAAAAUCAGGAGCUCGAAGUACUACAGUAAAAAAAGUGGUAGAAGGAAAAGGAACAAAUUAACCUGGGUGGGACAAUCAUUAAAUGCCAAGCCUAGAGCUGGGUGUGUCUUAUCAUUCCUCUCAAUAUCCCUUAGAAGAUAGACAUUAUUUUUCCUAUUUUACAGAGAAGGAAAUUGAGAUUCAAAGAGGUCACCUAGUCAUAUCCAAUGUUCGCUAAUUCUUAUACUCUGUCCAUGAAGGGUGGGAAGUAUCAGCGCAGUUUUCAAGCCCAUCUGCAUACAUUAAGUACCCCUCAUUUCACCAGUGAAAAAUAUCUGACAUCCCUUAUGCUAAUGUUCUGUAUAUUACAACACAUCAAAUGUUAACUCUUUAGAUUGUAAAAACUAAUUUAUGCAUAAAUAUAUAUCACACUUCAAUUGCCAAGUAUUUUAAUGUAAAUUUCAGAUAAUGUAAUAACCCCUGUGAGUAACCUACCCUGCACAUCACUGCUCCUUAUAGCCCUUAAUUUGGUCCAGUGGUCACCCUUGCUGCCCCCUUGAGCCCUUUCACCAUGUAGCAUGGAAUCAUCUGGAUUCAGCAAGCACCACUGUAUUCCCAGAUGUUUCUUUUGCUUUAACCGAAAGUUUUGCCCCUCUCAGUGUAUAUCAUUGCAUGACAUACAAUGUUCCACGUAUGUCACGGCCAGGCGGUAAGGCAAGUGCUUCCCUUUGCUGCAUCCAGUUUCUUUCUCCUUCCAAAAUCCCACAGAUUUUUAGAAAGUAAAAAAAAAUUUUUUUUUUGAAAGAAAAAGGAAAUUGACCUUUACAGCAUGCCAUAAAAUUACUUAAAAUUUACCAAGGAACUCCUGGAAGAAGACAUUAGAGAUAAUCUUUGCAACCUUGAGGUAGGCAAAUAUUUCUUAGGCAGAACACAGAAAUCACUAGCUAUAAAUGAAAAAGUUAAUAAAUUUGGCUUCUCACAACACACACACACACACACACACACACACACAAAUAUGUGAGGUGAUGCAUAUGUUAAUUAGCUUGAUUUAGCCAUUCUACAUUGUAUACGUAUAUCAAAAUAUGUUGUACACCAUCAAUAUAUACAAGUUUCACUUGUCAAUUAAAAAAUAAUUUUUUAAAAAUGGGGGAAGCUAGCAGUCUUGCAUCCCCUGUGAAGGGAUGUAUGCUCUAGUGGGUGGAUUUUACUUUAUAUUAAGUAUUGUUAUAAGUAGUUAGAUAGGCAUGAGUGAGGCAGGAGAGGGCUCUCCACCCACCCACUAGGAAUGUCAGAUGACAGUUGGACAAUUAUCACACCACCACUCUAAAAACGAUAAUGUGGCAGCCUACCCAGGGUGCCAGGGAGAGGCCAUUUCCUGGUGAUCCACAGCGGUUAACAUUAAAGUGUUAAAUGAAUCCAGAUGCCCGGGAGGAGAAACUGCCUGGGCAUGUGCACUAAGUGACAAAAUGGCAAAAUAAGACAUUCCAGGCAGGCUCUUCCCGAAAAAGGGAAGAAAGUCUCAGAUAGGCAUGCAUAUGACUUCCUAAACACACUGUGUGUGCUCAAUUCCCCAGGGUAAGGGGGCAGGCACUAGGCAGGCAGGCAGCCCACCCUGAGGGAAGAAUCAUGGGAAAGAGGCAAGCCUAUAAAGUCCUGAGAUGAAGUCGAAUUCUCCUGAGGAGGCAAGGACGAAGUUGCUGUAGAUGUGUACAGAUUCGCUGCUAAUAAUUCAGGGUAACUUGGAUCUCUUCCACUUGUAACACAAUCAUCUAAAGAAAAUAAAAAUAAAUAGAAUAAAUUAUAAAAACUAAAAAUCUCUGCUCUUUGAAAACCAUUGCUUAAAAAUAAAUGAAAAUGAAUAAAUAAAUUUCUCCCAGUCUGUGACUGGAAGAAAGUAUGCUCAAUACAUACUUCUAACAAAGGACCUACAUUCAGAAUGUAUAGGGAUCUGUUACAGCUCAAUAAUGGGAAGACAAAUAACGGGUAAAAACAUGGCAAUAGAUUUGAACACAUACUUCUUAAAAGAAGAUAUAUAUCAAGAGGCUGAGGCAGGAGAAUCGCUUGAAUGCAGGAGGUGGAGGUUGCAGUGAGCCGAGAUGGUGCCACUGCACUCCAGCCUGGGACUCUGUCUCAAAAGAAAGAGAAGAUAUAUGAAUGACCAGUAAGCACAUAAACAGAUGGAUUGCUCAACAUCCGUAGUCACCAGCGAAAUUCAAAUUAAAACCAUAAUAAGAUACCACUAUGCGACCUCUAGGCUGGUAAAAUUAAAACAAAACAAAACACACACACACACAGACACUACCACAUGCUGGCAAGAUUGUGGACUCAUCGGAAAUAAUUCAUACUUCACUGGUAGGAUUAUAAAAUUGUACACCCACUUUGAAAAACAGUUUGGCAAGUUUUGUUUUUUGUUUUUGUUUUUAAUGAAGUUAAACACACAUUUACCAUAUGACCUAGUAAUUCCACUUCUAGGCAUUUACCCUCCAAAAAUUAAAACACAUGUAUACAAGGACUUGCAUAUGAAUGUUGGGAGCAGCUGUAUUCAUGAUAGCUCUAAACUAAAAACAACCCAAAUGUUCACCAACAGGUGAAAUAAUAAUAAAUGUGAUAUGUCCAUACAAUAGAAUACUUCUCAGCAACAAAAA
Long non-coding RNA from Pongo pygmaeus (Bornean orangutan), 3249 nucleotides. RefSeq lists it as uncharacterized. The transcript is spliced from 2 exons. NCBI's taxonomy places the organism in Eukaryota, Metazoa, Chordata, Mammalia, Primates, Hominidae. The record is from RefSeq and is a predicted model, not a curated record.